This 72-nucleotide transfer RNA is filed under the name Heterocephalus glaber (naked mole-rat). It matches the Rfam family "tRNA". From Rfam's summary of the family: Transfer RNA (tRNA) molecules are approximately 80 nucleotides in length. Their secondary structure includes four short double-helical elements and three loops (D, anti-codon, and T loops). Lineage: Eukaryota; Metazoa; Chordata; Mammalia; Rodentia; Bathyergidae. The record is from Rfam by way of RNAcentral.
GGGGGUUUAGCUCAGUGGCACAGCACCUGCCUCCCAAGCUCGAGGUCCUGAGUUCAAUCCCUGGUACCCCCU